ACUUAUUUGACGAGUCCCAAAUAGGACGAAAGGCGCGUCAAGCUGGAU
RNAcentral lists this non-coding RNA (48 nucleotides) under Schistosoma mansoni. The record is from RNAcentral. Lineage: Eukaryota; Metazoa; Platyhelminthes; Trematoda; Strigeidida; Schistosomatidae.